RNAcentral lists this ribosomal RNA (1306 nucleotides) under Microbacterium oxydans. Its description in RNAcentral is "bacterial SSU rRNA". It matches the Rfam family "Bacterial small subunit ribosomal RNA", at positions 96 to 1414 of the family's 1533-position model. Lineage: Bacteria; Bacillati; Actinomycetota; Actinomycetes; Micrococcales; Microbacteriaceae. The record is from RNAcentral.
UGGCGAACGGGUGAGUAACACGUGAGCAACCUGCCCCUGACUCUGGGAUAAGCGCUGGAAACGGCGUCUAAUACUGGAUAUGUGACGUGACCGCAUGGUCUGCGUCUGGAAAGAAUUUCGGUUGGGGAUGGGCUCGCGGCCUAUCAGCUUGUUGGUGAGGUAAUGGCUCACCAAGGCGUCGACGGGUAGCCGGCCUGAGAGGGUGACCGGCCACACUGGGACUGAGACACGGCCCAGACUCCUACGGGAGGCAGCAGUGGGGAAUAUUGCACAAUGGGCGCAAGCCUGAUGCAGCAACGCCGCGUGAGGGACGACGGCCUUCGGGUUGUAAACCUCUUUUAGCAGGGAAGAAGCGAAAGUGACGGUACCUGCAGAAAAAGCGCCGGCUAACUACGUGCCAGCAGCCGCGGUAAUACGUAGGGCGCAAGCGUUAUCCGGAAUUAUUGGGCGUAAAGAGCUCGUAGGCGGUUUGUCGCGUCUGCUGUGAAAUCCGGAGGCUCAACCUCCGGCCUGCAGUGGGUACGGGCAGACUAGAGUGCGGUAGGGGAGAUUGGAAUUCCUGGUGUAGCGGUGGAAUGCGCAGAUAUCAGGAGGAACACCGAUGGCGAAGGCAGAUCUCUGGGCCGUAACUGACGCUGAGGAGCGAAAGGGUGGGGAGCAAACAGGCUUAGAUACCCUGGUAGUCCACCCCGUAAACGUUGGGAACUAGUUGUGGGGUCCAUUCCACGGAUUCCGUGACGCAGCUAACGCAUUAAGUUCCCCGCCUGGGGAGUACGGCCGCAAGGCUAAAACUCAAAGGAAUUGACGGGGACCCGCACAAGCGGCGGAGCAUGCGGAUUAAUUCGAUGCAACGCGAAGAACCUUACCAAGGCUUGACAUAUACGAGAACGGGCCAGAAAUGGUCAACUCUUUGGACACUCGUAAACAGGUGGUGCAUGGUUGUCGUCAGCUCGUGUCGUGAGAUGUUGGGUUAAGUCCCGCAACGAGCGCAACCCUCGUUCUAUGUUGCCAGCACGUAAUGGUGGGAACUCAUGGGAUACUGCCGGGGUCAACUCGGAGGAAGGUGGGGAUGACGUCAAAUCAUCAUGCCCCUUAUGUCUUGGGCUUCACGCAUGCUACAAUGGCCGGUACAAAGGGCUGCAAUACCGCGAGGUGGAGCGAAUCCCAAAAAGCCGGUCCCAGUUCGGAUUGAGGUCUGCAACUCGACCUCAUGAAGUCGGAGUCGCUAGUAAUCGCAGAUCAGCAACGCUGCGGUGAAUACGUUCCCGGGUCUUGUACACACCGCCCGUCAAGUCAUGAAAGUCGG